UACUCUGUUUCGAUCCCACGCUUAGACUGGCCGUGUGACCGUGCAUGGGACCAUGACCAAUUUUAGCAUUGGUCCCAUUCUUGUAUAUUUUGGUCCUGGUCCCAUAUAUUGUUUUUCAAACCAGUCACUUUACACUGUUUGUAUUAUAGCUCUGGUCUCAUUUCACUGUUUAUGAGAAAUAUUUAGAUUCUGAAUACUGUUCUUACCUUGAUUUCUGAGUCACAGUCCUGUUUGGUCCCAUUUUACAAAAUGGGACCAAACAGAACCAUGACUUACUCAUAAUUACAUAAUACAUAUACCUUUAUACUGGAUGGUAGCUAAUUAUGAUGUGAGCAUUAUCAAAUAUUGUUAUCUUUUUGAUGUCACAACAGAAAUAUCAUUAUAUGUCUGUAGACAUUUUGAAAAUUAAAAAACAAAAACAAAAACAAC
This 429-nucleotide small RNA is filed under the name Histoplasma ohiense. RNAcentral describes it as "hypothetical lncRNA". The record is from RNAcentral. Lineage: Eukaryota; Fungi; Ascomycota; Eurotiomycetes; Onygenales; Ajellomycetaceae.